GUAUUACCAUGAGUUCCCUUGAAACACUUUACGAAGCACCUUUCUGAGAGCUUAUGUGAAGUGUUUGGGGGAACUCUCAGUGCAAU
RNAcentral lists this microRNA precursor (86 nucleotides) under Triticum aestivum (bread wheat). RNAcentral's name for it is "mir-395 microRNA precursor family". It matches the Rfam family "mir-395 microRNA precursor family". From Rfam's summary of the family: mir-395 was identified in both Arabidopsis thaliana and Oryza sativa computationally and was later experimentally verified. mir-395 is thought to target mRNAs coding for ATP sulphurylases. Lineage: Eukaryota; Viridiplantae; Streptophyta; Magnoliopsida; Poales; Poaceae. The record is from Rfam by way of RNAcentral. RNAcentral also lists the same sequence under 1 other name.